Long non-coding RNA from Mercenaria mercenaria, 1672 nucleotides. RefSeq lists it as uncharacterized. NCBI's taxonomy places the organism in Eukaryota, Metazoa, Mollusca, Bivalvia, Venerida, Veneridae. The record is from RefSeq and is a predicted model, not a curated record. The transcript has 3 exons.
UGCAUCCGGGAUAGAUGGCCUAAUAAUAUAAAAUAUGUUAAGCUAGCAAUAUCAAAGCCAAAAGCUCUGAGCUCUGAACAAUCAGUUAGAAAUUCAACAUGCAGCUAUCAGUUGUCGUUUUCGGGCUUGUAGUGCUUGCCGCAGUGCUGGUAAAAUCAGGAGAUGCGAGGGCUUCACCUUCAAAAGAUGAGCGGCUGGAUGAAUUGACUGAGGAAUUACUGGCUAGAUAUGUGGAAAGAAGGAACCAAGAAACAAAUAUGCAGAGCACCAACACACGAAGUACGUACGACAAUGGUCCUGUGCGUCGUUUUUGGUCGUGGCAUAAGCCUCCCCACAUAACUAACACAAUAAAUAUUGGAAAUCAUCAUUCGGGCAAUUCUGGAAACAUCGGCAGUAUUCAUGGUGGUUUCACAGGAGGUAAAAUUGGGAACAACCAAGGAAGGAAAUAGAUCAACGGAUGUCAUGACGAAGGAAAAUAUUAACAAGACAAUGGACCAAAAGCGGUGAUAAUUUGAAUCCAUCAAAAUCUGUAAAACAAAACGACAAAACUUAAUCGACGUAAACUCAUUGUCAUAUGAUAUAAGAUGUUAGAUUAGUGUGAUACGAACUAUACCAGGAUAAUUUUGGACUUGAUUUUGCGGAUUAAUGAGCUAUUUUAUUUUAAUUACAGUAAAUAUACUUUAUCAUAUUUCCUUGUUAUCUUUUUUUUUUUUUUCUUUUUUUUUUUUUGCUUUUACUCAUCUUGAAGUAGUUAUAGUUUUAUACUAGGUUGCGACUUCAUACUUGAAUUACUAUACAUAAAAACGUGCGUCUGCUAAAGUUGUCCAGUCGCCUUUUACAAAUAAGGCUAGCUUGCUAUUUUCUGAACUUUGACACCUGAGAUUCUAUAAAUUUACUAUAUGCAUACACGCAUACACGUAUGAAAUCGCAACCUGUAUUAUAUAUGUAUGUUUUUUCAAUCUGCUUUUUUUGAUAUUAUAUUGAGUGUUUUCACUUUCACUUUUACAAGACUCGUUCACAAACAGUAGCUACGUUUAUUUUGGAAAUAAUAUCUAGCAUAAACAUAUUUUAACAUAUACAAUGUAUAAACACUACGCAGAGUAUAGGGCCAACACCUCCGGUCAAGUCCUAGUGAAUUAUCCACGCAGCGAGUUACUGGCUAGUAUUGUUUGGAUAAUUAAAACAUGGUUCUGCUGUUUAUUAUUUCGAUCGAUUCUUAUAUGUUUUUUUAUGUAAGACGUAGAUGGCAGAAUUUGGAAGCACUAUUUCACGUCUCAUUUAAGGCGUCAAAUCUGUUAGAUGGACACGUCCCCGGGCCAGUCCGGCUUCAAAGAUAUACGUAAAUUGACCUAAGCAUUCAUUAACUUAGCGAACAAUAUAUAUUGUUUGGUAAAGACAAGUCAGUUCCAACGGGCACUUUGACGUACAUGACAUCUUUUUAAAAAAUAAAAUAUCCAUUACAUACAAUUGUUUUCAAGACGAUUAAAAUUUUGAAAAAAAGAAAAUCUAAAAUGUAUGAUAUUUGUUUAUAUACAUGUUAUUGUUUCAAAACGAAAGAUGAAGACAUUUUAUAAUUUUUACCACAGUUGUGAACAAGUAGAUUCCGUGAUAUUUAAUAUUCUCUUAUUCUUCGCAAUUUACUUUACAUCUAUUAAACAUAAUUUUCUGCAGA